CAUAGGGUAGUGGCUAAGAACCUAAACUCUAAAUUUAGAUGUCCUGAGUUCAAAUCCCAGCUGUAUGC
Molecule: transfer RNA, 68 nt
Filed under: Homo sapiens (human)
Lineage: Eukaryota; Metazoa; Chordata; Mammalia; Primates; Hominidae
Description: tRNA-Leu-CAA-7-1
Source: RNAcentral